RNAcentral lists this ribosomal RNA (777 nucleotides) under Acinetobacter baumannii. RNAcentral's name for it is "bacterial LSU rRNA". It matches the Rfam family "Bacterial large subunit ribosomal RNA", at positions 2172 to 2925 of the family's 2925-position model. Lineage: Bacteria; Pseudomonadati; Pseudomonadota; Gammaproteobacteria; Moraxellales; Moraxellaceae. The record is from RNAcentral.
UAGUUACAGUGGAGCCGUCCUUGAAAUACCACCCUGGUAAUGUUGAGGUUCUAACUCUGUCCCGUGAUCCGGGACGAGGACCGUGUCUGGUGGGUAGUUUGACUGGGGCGGUCUCCUCCUAAAGAGUAACGGAGGAGUACGAAGGUGCGCUCAGCGUGGUCGGAAAUCACGCGUAGAGUAUAAAGGCAAAAGCGCGCUUAACUGCGAGACCCACAAGUCGAGCAGGUACGAAAGUAGGUCUUAGUGAUCCGGUGGUUCUGUAUGGAAGGGCCAUCGCUCAACGGAUAAAAGGUACUCUGGGGAUAACAGGCUGAUACCGCCCAAGAGUUCAUAUCGACGGCGGUGUUUGGCACCUCGAUGUCGGCUCAUCUCAUCCUGGGGCUGAAGCAGGUCCCAAGGGUAUGGCUGUUCGCCAUUUAAAGAGGUACGCGAGCUGGGUUUAGAACGUCGUGAGACAGUUCGGUCCCUAUCUACCGUGGGCGCUGGAAAUUUGAGAGGAUCUGCUCCUAGUACGAGAGGACCAGAGUGGACGAACCUCUGGUGUACCGGUUGUGACGCCAGUCGCAUCGCCGGGUAGCUAUGUUCGGAAGGGAUAACCGCUGAAAGCAUCUAAGCGGGAAGCCUACCUCAAGAUAAGAUUUCCCUAGGACUUUAUGUCCUCUAAAGAGCCGUUCGAGACUAGGACGUUGAUAGGUUGGAUGUGGAAGCAUAGUGAUAUGUGAAGCUGACCAAUACUAAUUGCUCGUGAGGCUUGACUAUACAACACCCAAGCAGUUG